GGGUCUAUCCAUUGGUCGGGCUUUACGGUCCGUACUGGUUCGAUGGGUUCCUACCUUCUGAAUAACCGGCAUGCCAUUCAGUUGGUGCGCCGGGGAAGCAGAGCUAUUACCUUGAAAAAAUUAGAGUGCUUAAAGCAGGCUAUUGCUUGAAUAGAUUAGCAUGGAAUAAUAAAAUAGGACGGCACGGUUCUAUUUUGUUGGUUUCUAGGAUCACCGUA
RNAcentral lists this ribosomal RNA (218 nucleotides) under Glomeromycotina sp. RNAcentral's name for it is "partial small subunit ribosomal RNA". The stretch from base 93 to 218 matches the Rfam family "Eukaryotic small subunit ribosomal RNA", at positions 738 to 864 of the family's 1831-position model. Lineage: Eukaryota; Fungi; Glomeromycota. The record is from RNAcentral.